RNAcentral lists this non-coding RNA (199 nucleotides) under Parabacteroides goldsteinii. Lineage: Bacteria; Pseudomonadati; Bacteroidota; Bacteroidia; Bacteroidales; Tannerellaceae. The record is from RNAcentral.
UAUAUUUGCGCUAUGCAUUGUUCCGAGCCUGUAUCCGCGGGUAAGGAUUAAAAGGGAACCGGGUGUGAAUCCCGGACAGUCCCGCUGCUGUGAGCUUCAUAACGUAUCAGGCAUACUUUUGCCACUGUUCUGUAAGGGGAAUGGGAAGGCGCUUGAUCCGGAAGUAAGUCAGAAGACCUGCAAGGCAUAUUAUUUCGAC